GCAGUAGCCGCGGUAAUACGAAGGGGGCUAGCGUUGUUCGGAUUUACUGGGCGUAAAGCGCACGUAGGCGGAUCGAUCAGUCAGGGGUGAAAUCCCAGAGCUCAACUCUGGAACUGCCUUUGAUACUGUCGAUCUGGAGUAUGGAAGAGGUGAGUGGAAUUCCGAGUGUAGAGGUGAAAUUCGUAGAUAUUCGGAGGAACACCAGUGGCGAAGGCGGCUCACUGGUCCAUUACUGACGCUGAGGUGCGAAAGCGUGGGGAGCGAACAGGAUUAGAUACCCCCGUAGUCCCUGUCUCUUAUAC
RNAcentral lists this ribosomal RNA (302 nucleotides) under uncultured bacterium. RNAcentral describes it as "partial 16S ribosomal RNA". It matches the Rfam family "Bacterial small subunit ribosomal RNA", at positions 508 to 807 of the family's 1533-position model. The record is from RNAcentral.